GACGAACGCUGGCGGCGUGCUUAACACAUGCAAGUCGAACGGAAAGGCCCUGCUUUUGUGGGGUGCUCGAGUGGCGAACGGGUGAGUAACACGUGAGUAACCUGCCCUUGACUUUGGGAUAACUUCAGGAAACUGGGGCUAAUACCGGAUAGGAGCUCCUGCUGCAUGGUGGGGGAUGGAAAGUUUCGGCGGUUGGGGAUGGACUCGCGGCUUAUCAGCUUGUUGGUGGGGUAGUGGCUUACCAAGGCUUUGACGGGUAGCCGGCCUGAGAGGGUGAACGGCCACCUUGGGACUGAGAUACGGACCAGUCUCCUACGGGAGGCAGCAGUGGGGAAUAUUGCACAAUGGGGGGAAGCCUGAUGCAGCAACGCCGCGUGCGGGAUGACGGCCUUCGGGUUGUAAACCGCUUUCGCCUGUGACGAAGCGUGAGUGACGGUAAUGGGUAAAGAAGCACCGGCUAACUACGUG
This 468-nucleotide ribosomal RNA is filed under the name uncultured bacterium. RNAcentral's name for it is "partial 16S ribosomal RNA". It matches the Rfam family "Bacterial small subunit ribosomal RNA", at positions 28 to 507 of the family's 1533-position model. The record is from RNAcentral.